GUGAACGCUGGCGGCGUGCCUAAUCCAUGCAAGUCGAGCGAACAGACGAGGAGCUUGCUCCUCUGACGUUAGCGGCGGACGGGUGAGUAACACGUGGAUAACCUACCUAUAAGACUGGGAUAACUUCGGGAAACCGGAGCUAAUACCGGAUAAUAUAUUGAACCGCAUGGUUCAAUAGUGAAAGACGGUUUUGCUGUCACUUAUAGAUGGAUCCGCGCCGCAUUAGCUAGUUGGUAAGGUAACGGCUUACCAAGGCGACGAUGCGUAGCCGACCUGAGAGGGUGAUCGGCCACACUGGAACUGAGACACGGUCCAGACUCCUACGGGAGGCAGCAGUAGGGAAUCUUCCGCAAUGGGCGAAAGCCUGACGGAGCAACGCCGCGUGAGUGAUGAAGGUCUUCGGAUCGUAAAACUCUGUUAUUAGGGAAGAACAAAUGUGUAAGUAACUAUGCACGUCUUGACGGUACCUAAUCAGAAAGCCACGGCUAACUACGUG
Molecule: ribosomal RNA, 496 nt
Filed under: uncultured bacterium
Lineage: Bacteria
Description: partial 16S ribosomal RNA
Rfam family: Bacterial small subunit ribosomal RNA
Source: RNAcentral